Molecule: ribosomal RNA, 272 nt
Filed under: uncultured Staphylococcus sp.
Lineage: Bacteria; Bacillati; Bacillota; Bacilli; Caryophanales; Staphylococcaceae
Description: partial 16S ribosomal RNA
Rfam family: Bacterial small subunit ribosomal RNA
Source: RNAcentral
CGUUAGCGGCGGACGGGUGAGUAACACGUGGGUAACCUACCUAUAAGACUGGGAUAACUCCGGGAAUCCGGGGCUAAUACCGGAUAAUACAUGAAACCGCAUGGUUUCAUGAUGAAAGACGGUUUUGCUGUCACUUAUAGAUGGACCCGCGGCGUAUUAGCUAGUUGGUAAGGUAACGGCUUACCAAGGCAACGAUACGUAGCCGACCUGAGAGGGUGAUCGGCCACACUGGAACUGAGGCACGGUCCAGACUCCUACGGGAGGCAGCAGCC